This 489-nucleotide ribosomal RNA is filed under the name Penicillium sp. GBPI_P168. RNAcentral describes it as "eukaryotic LSU rRNA". The stretch from base 158 to 311 matches the Rfam family "5.8S ribosomal RNA". Lineage: Eukaryota; Fungi; Ascomycota; Eurotiomycetes; Eurotiales; Aspergillaceae. The record is from RNAcentral.
UCUGGGUCACCUCCCACCCGUGUUUAUUGUACCUUGUUGCUUCGGUGCGCCCGCCUCACGGCCGCCGGGGGGCUUCUGCCCCCGGGCCCGCGCCCACCGAAGACACCAUUGAACUCUGUCUGAAGAUUGCAGUCUGAGCAUAAACUAAAUAAGUUAAAACUUUCAACAACGGAUCUCUUGGUUCCGGCAUCGAUGAAGAACGCAGCGAAAUGCGAUAACUAAUGUGAAUUGCAGAAUUCAGUGAAUCAUCGAGUCUUUGAACGCACAUUGCGCCCCCUGGUAUUCCGGGGGGCAUGCCUGUCCGAGCGUCAUUGCUGCCCUCAAGCACGGCUUGUGUGUUGGGCUCCGUCCCCCCGGGGACGGGCCCGAAAGGCAGCGGCGGCACCGAGUCCGGUCCUCGAGCGUAUGGGGCUUUGUCACCCGCUCUGUAGGCCCGGCCGGCGCCAGCCGACAACCCAUCAUCCUUUCAGGUGACCUCGAUCAGUAGAU